GUCACUGUUAUGUAACCUAGGAACAAGAUACCAUUACUAUGUAUGCAGUCUGGGAGCUGAAUAUCAAGCUCUAGACCUACCUGUGAACAUUCAAACACUCAUUUCCAAACUGACAAAAAUGAUAUCUGCCUCUGAUGUUGCUCAAUUCGUUGACAGUUAUUGCCAUAUUCUCACUGUAUUGUGACAAUAAAUAAAAUAUAUAGUUGUGAUUCUCAAAAGUUUCUUUAAACUAUUCUUAGGCCAUAAUGUUUACAGGGAAAAAUUACAUGAAAAAAUACACUCAUAAAUGUUUGAAAAAUCUUGCACCAUAUACAACUUUAUAAAUUUGUCUUGUAAUAUUUAGGUUAUGUUUUAACUUCCUUAUUUUUUCCAGGGUGGGAGAACGAAUGUUCUCUGAAGAAAUCUGUAUGAUAUAGACUAGUGAAGGUAACUGGCCUGAACUACAGCUCUAGAGUCAUUUGGUUUCACCUUCAGGGAGGUUGGCACAAGAAGAGUACGAUCCUUUGGCUGUUGGGAAAAAACUUUCAGUCUAAUCAGAGAGAGAUUUGAGAAGCAGUUGCUUGAGUAUUGAACAUGAAGCUGAAGGACAAUUGGGUACCUCAAGAUUUCAAGUUAUUGUUCUGGGGAUCUGGAAGAAAGAUGAGUUACAGAUCUGAAAAAGCAGUGUGUGUGGAGCUUAACUGCGCAUGACUGAUUGUGUGAUAUAUUGCUCUUUUCACUAAUAACCACAAAGCAGGUAGAGGCAUGGCAGACUAAUUUGGUUUAUAUGUCCAGCUGUAAGGCUAGACACUGCAUCAUUCU
Molecule: long non-coding RNA, 801 nt
Filed under: Papio anubis (olive baboon)
Lineage: Eukaryota; Metazoa; Chordata; Mammalia; Primates; Cercopithecidae
Description: lncRNA (ENSPANG00000046502.1)
Source: RNAcentral